AGUUCGUGGAGUGAUCUGUCUGCUUAAUUGCGUUUCACUAAGGGCUUAAAAUUAUGUGCUUUAAUAUUGACCCCUCAAUUUUUAAUUGAGUGUGUUGUCUUUAUUGGUACUUCUAAGCUCUGAAAGCAACGAACGUGACCGCAACCCUUUGUUGCCUUUACUAAAAUUUUAUUUUUUUUAUAAAAUAUAAUUAAAAAAGGCUUUUUAAACUAGGGGGACCGCUGUAAUCUUUUUAAACCAGAGGAAGGUUGCGGCAAUAACAGG
RNAcentral lists this ribosomal RNA (264 nucleotides) under Foraminifera sp. RNAcentral's name for it is "partial small subunit ribosomal RNA". Lineage: Eukaryota; Foraminifera. The record is from RNAcentral.